Molecule: transfer RNA, 118 nt
Filed under: Streptomyces xanthii
Lineage: Bacteria; Bacillati; Actinomycetota; Actinomycetes; Kitasatosporales; Streptomycetaceae
Description: Streptomyces sp. CRXT-Y-14 tRNA-OTHER
Source: RNAcentral
GGCGCCGUGGCAGAGCGGCCCAUUGCGAUCGGCGUGAGCGGUGCCUCGCUCACGCCGACUGGAGGAGAGGGGCGGGCACGCCCGUCUCCAUCCCGCGGGUUCGAAUCCCGUCGGCGUC